Molecule: ribosomal RNA, 253 nt
Filed under: uncultured bacterium
Lineage: Bacteria
Description: partial 16S ribosomal RNA
Rfam family: Bacterial small subunit ribosomal RNA
Source: RNAcentral
UACGAAGGGUGCAAGCGUUACUCGGAAUUACUGGGCGUAAAGCGUGCGUAGGUGGUGAGUUAAGUCUGAUGUGAAAUCCCCGGGCUCAACCUGGGAAUGGCAUUGGAUACUGGCUCGCUAGAGUGCGGUAGAGGGUGGUGGAAUUCCCGGUGUAGCAGUGAAAUGCGUAGAGAUCGGGAGGAACAUCUGUGGCGAAGGCGGCCACCUGGACCAGCACUGACACUGAGGCACGAAAGCGUGGGGAGCAAACAGG